GGUGUGGUGGUGUAGUGGUUAUCAUGUCUGCUUUACACGCAGAAGGUCUCCGGUUAGAACCCGGACAGGACCA
RNAcentral lists this transfer RNA (73 nucleotides) under Echinostoma caproni. It matches the Rfam family "tRNA". Rfam says of the family: Transfer RNA (tRNA) molecules are approximately 80 nucleotides in length. Lineage: Eukaryota; Metazoa; Platyhelminthes; Trematoda; Plagiorchiida; Echinostomatidae. The record is from Rfam by way of RNAcentral.